RNAcentral lists this transfer RNA (72 nucleotides) under Phrynosoma platyrhinos (Desert horned lizard). Its description in RNAcentral is "tRNA-OTHER". Lineage: Eukaryota; Metazoa; Chordata; Lepidosauria; Squamata; Phrynosomatidae. The record is from RNAcentral.
GUCAGCGUGGUGUAGUGGUUUGAGCAUUAGACUGUGACUCUGGAGAUCAGGGUUCGAAUUGCUGCUUGGCCA